This is a long non-coding RNA of Lynx canadensis (Canada lynx), 1588 nucleotides long. The record is from Ensembl. Lineage: Eukaryota; Metazoa; Chordata; Mammalia; Carnivora; Felidae.
GGUUUAUCUUUUCUAUUUUUAAAGAAGAGAUGUUAAAGCACAAACACGUGAAAUAGAAGAAAAAGUCGUAUGUUGUUAGAAUGCAGUUUCUCAACACCUACUUCAGUGCUUUGUUAGGUGUUGCUGCAUCAUUGAAUUACAAACAAUAGAACUGACAUAUUCCUGUGCAUUGUAUUAACCACACUAAAAGUUUUGUUACUAUAAUUCUGGAAGAAACUUUUCACAUCUUAGAAAUCACCUACUCAUAUGUUUUAAGAAGACCAUUUGCUACAACUCCUAAUUUAAAACUAUGUUUCUUUUAUAACCAUUGCAUUUAGCUCUUCUCCCCUCAUCCCUUUUAGAAAUGAGUGAGAUGGAAAUGAGAAAGAGGUUUCUAGAUGCUCACACAAACUCUGUGAUCAUAUUUACCAUACUUGUAUCCAAGAAUCAUUGUUCUAGAAGGCUUGCUGUGGAUUCUCAUUAAGAGGAUUACCCUAAAUGAUGAGACCUAGCUGAGAGCAGGUGGAAGCUGAAAUCCAGUCCAAGCCCCACUUACCAAAUCCUGAACCCAGAUGUGACUUGUCUCCCCCAGAGGGAGGACCUUUUCCUAACUAACACAAAGGCCCAGUGUGGAUCAGAAAUAGUCUACAUUUACUCAUCCUUUGCCAUAAUCUUCAUUCUUGGCCUGAUGCUCUGUCACUGCAACAAAGGUUUUCCAUAUUCAUUCUGAUGACUUACCCUAAAUUUGGCACUUUUUUUCUAUUAAAGCAAUUUUCUGAUUUUUUUUACAUUUGAAGUUUUAUUUCUGUUUUCAAGAGAAAAACAUUCUGCUGUUAAUUCUCAUUGUAGAAUUCUGCCAGAUUGAAUACUCAAUGGAUAAGGACUUUCUUUGCAUAUAGAACACAAGGUCUUUUUUAUUUCCUUAUGAAAUAGAGGUCAAACUUGUACAUUGCAUAAUUGGUCCCAAUUUUUCACCCCUCCUGCAACUCACCUUUUUACUAUGGCCUUCUCAUGGUUAGGAGAAUUUCCCUGUCCUUUGACUUGGUGAUAUGCUUUGGCUAAUCACACAUUGAUAUUGGAAUGAUACUGUGUUUUAAAAGGUCUAACUAAGGCAGGGGUGCCUGGGUGGCUCAGUCAGUUGAGCAUCCAACUUUGGCUCAGGUCGUGAUCUCACUGUUUGUGGGUUCCAGCCCUGUGUCGGACUUUGUGCUGAAUGCUUGCUCAGAGCCUGGAGCCUGCUUCAGAUUUUGUGUCUCCUUCUCUCUCUGCCCCUCCCCUGCUCACACUCUGUCUCACUCUGUCUCUCAAAAAUAAAUAAAUGUAAAAAAAUAAAAUAAAAGGUCCAAGGCAUUUCCACAUACUGUUUUGUACCUCUGUCAUUGCUACCAAUAAAGCAUGGCUCAGCUAGUCUGCUGGUAAAAAGAGAAUGGAAGAUAUGUGGAAGAGAGAUUGUCCGGUUGCCCUGUAGGGCUGCUGUCUGUGGUGCAUGUGGGGGUGAGAAGAACCACCAGCUGAGCCUCCCAUGAUUAACGAAAGCAACCAAACUGCAGGUUCAUAAAAAUUAUCAAUUUUCUUUCAAUCCCCUAAAUUUUGUGUCAUUUUGUUAUGC